CCUACGGGUGGCAGCAAUGAGGAAUAUUGGUCAAUGGACGCAAGUCUGAACCAGCCAUGCCGCGUGCAGGAAGACGGCUCUAUGAGUUGUAAACUGCUUUUGUACGAGGGUAAACGCAGAUACGUGUAUCUGUCUGAAAGUAUCGUACGAAUAAGGAUCGGCUAACUCCGUGCCAGCAGCCGCGGUAAUACGGAGGAUUCAAGCGUUAUCCGGAUUUAUUGGGUUUAAAGGGUGCGUAGGCGGUCGGAUAAGUUAGAGGUGAAAUCCCGAGGCUCAACUUCGGAAUUGCCUCUGAUACUGUGCGGCUAGAGAGUAGUUGCGGUAGGCGGAAUGUAUGGUGUAGCGGUGAAAUGCUUAGAGAUCAUACAGAACACCGAUUGCGAAGGCAGCUUACCAAGCUACUUCUGACGUGGAGGCACGAAAGCGUGGGGAGCAAACAGGAUUAGAUACCCCAGUAGUC
This 460-nucleotide ribosomal RNA is filed under the name uncultured bacterium. RNAcentral's name for it is "partial 16S ribosomal RNA". It matches the Rfam family "Bacterial small subunit ribosomal RNA", at positions 338 to 795 of the family's 1533-position model. The record is from RNAcentral.